Paramuricea clavata is the source of this 946-nucleotide non-coding RNA. NCBI's taxonomy places the organism in Eukaryota, Metazoa, Cnidaria, Anthozoa, Malacalcyonacea, Plexauridae. The record is from the annotation of a GenBank genome assembly.
AGGAUCUUGAGAUAUCGCGUGCAUCGCAAUCAUUAACCCGUUCGGGAGUGCUAUGUCAACAUACUACAAAUGGUAACCCACCCCAAGCCAUGACCAAGAUUCGACUCUACGAGAUCUGGGUGGAUCUAUCCUUGUUAUAAAUCAGAUGGUAACCAGUUUCGAGAUCCAUGACAUAAAGCCAUGAAAAUAUUUCAAUGUAUGUUUCAGGUCGAUGUUUUCGAGCUUUGAGUGCGUUCUUCUAUUUCGUGGCUCUGGACAAAUCAGGUCGUCCCAUCAAAGUUCCCGCUCUGCAGCCACAGUCAGAGGAGGAAAGACAGAGAUUUGACGAAGGCAAAGCUCGCUACGAGGCUAGAAAACAAAGAAGGCUAAGCGUUAAAUAGAACUCUUGCAGUUAGUGCAAAUUAGUAUACAAGCAUGUAGUGCUCAUUUUGUCGCUAAUUUCUGGUAUACACUCUAUAAAACACUCUAAAUCUUUUUGGCUAAAUAUUUCCUGGUUAAUCUAUGGAAAUAAUCUUGUUUGGGUGAACAUGGUGUCCAAGUUAAAUUUCAUGGUUAAUUUAACCUUUUUCACUUACUAUGAUCUUAGCUUAGGCACGUCCUGGUUAAAUUAUAACCAGCCUAUGUUAGGUGGAUAAAAAUAUAACCUAUAUAUGUUUUACCGUGCCUGUAUAUAGGUAUAAUCAAAGUCCCCUGGUUUUUUAACCACCCAACAUAGUCUGAUUAUUUUAACAAGGACGUCUUGGUUAAAUAUAACCAUUAACCAUUUACAUUGUAAAGCAUACAAAUACAGUUUAAAAUGAUAUUCUCUUAUGCACCAUUUUACAAUGAAAAAAAUAUAUUGGACAUUGAAAAGUAAUUUCAUGAUAUUAGACAGAGGAGACACAAGACAAACAAGUCAAAGUAGAGUCAAUACUCGGUUUAGCAUGGGGAAAUUGGAAAAACUGAC